UUUUAAUCAGUUAAGCCAACAAUUCUCUAUUCUCUGCGCGCACCCAUUGUGCAAACAGCAGCCUCCUCAGUCGGAUAUACAGUCUGUUGCUUGUCUGGGUUGCCCUAGGGGACCUUGGAGAUAGCU
Molecule: small nucleolar RNA, 126 nt
Filed under: Sus scrofa (pig)
Lineage: Eukaryota; Metazoa; Chordata; Mammalia; Artiodactyla; Suidae
Description: Small nucleolar RNA SNORA70 (ENSSSCG00040039480.1, ENSSSCG00060005743.1, ENSSSCG00190021530.1)
Rfam family: Small nucleolar RNA SNORA70
About the family: snoRNA U70 seems to be exclusive to mammals and is a member of the H/ACA class of snoRNA which contain H (ANANNA) and ACA box motifs. H/ACA box snoRNAs are involved in the conversion of uridines to pseudouridines (5-ribosyluracil) a constituent of structural RNAs (transfer, ribosomal, small nuclear, and small nucleolar).
Source: RNAcentral